GUUGAUCCAAAUGUUGGAUUAAGCAAGACUGGAAACGUUUUGCAAUCAUGAAGUGGUCACUUCUUUGUACCUCCCGCUUUUGAGGGUGUUCACGUCUUCAAAAUCACCGUUCCAAAAUUCCUGAAGCUUCGCUGGAAACUCGGCAUGCUGGUCCUUUGUUUAAGCCGGACUCCAUGGAUUUCUACAAUCUUGAACUCACCAAUACUAAUGUAAGUAUAUAUGCAACUACUUAAUUAUGAUCGACAUUUACUUUUAUCUAUGUGAAAUUACCAAUUUUGAUUCUCAUUCGUGUGAUUGUGCUUGGUGCAAGUUGUGUAUCAUACAACCCAUGAUUUCAAGAAGGAAAACACAAUUGUAUUUGUAAUAGUGCUCUGUCAAAUUUUUCCUGACCACAAUCAUAACAAACUUCUUUUUUAAAAUGAAUCAAGAAAUCCGAAAGUUUUUUUUUCUUCGGUUCAUGUAUUAUUUUUGUUUCCCUCUUAUUGCAUCUUUGAUUGAAUAAACCAGUUUCUAAUAAGGCCCUUUUUUUUGCCUAUUACCUGUUUGAUAAAAUGCCACAACUAAUGAAAAAAAAAUCUAAAGGUUAGCAGGUGGAGGAUAAAAUUAUACAACAUUCUUACCACAUAUUGGAGUUCUAUUAGCAUAUACAUAUCUUUUGGAGGAGGGAUUCGUGGGUUCAGGUGGAAGGUGCAAUUAAGAGGCUGAAGGUAUUAAUCUUUUACUUAUUCUCCUAAUUUUAAAUGGGUUUUGACCGUGUGAUAAAACAUGUUAAAGUGCAAUCCUGGAUUUGAAGUUCUCUACCAAACACCAUUCGCAUCAAAGUAAUUUCCUAUAUAGCAUGUUCCUUUCAUUUCUAUUUCGUUAAACCUUUUAGGUUUAUUUUAUUUUUUCUUAUUAAACUGUUGUAUUUUAAACGUACAUUACUAUAAUUUUAUUUGUAAUUUUUUGAUUCUUAGUUUCUUUAGUAUUUCUACAUAAUUUAUUUUAUUUUUACCUAAUUAAAGCAUGGUAUUGAAAGCACAAGGUUGUGAUUGGUGGUUGAUUUUAAAAUACAGUCAAUUUAACAUUUCUGAGUACGUAUGUUUGUUAUGUACACAAAACCGACUUAAUUUGGAAAUUAGAUGUUUGUCAAUUAUCCCCAGAUUCUUCAAAAAAAGGUACAUUCAUCAACUAUUGACUUAAAUUGAAAAUGUUAUUGACCUGCUUGAGUUUCCGUUUUCUCCUUAUUUUAUCAUGAUAACAAACACUACCUUUCUAUAUAUGUUUAUGUUGAUGUAAUUGAUGUGUAGGUUCUAGUGUAUAAAGUGCCCACCUUAACUAUUGAUGUAAUCCCAUGGAUAGUGCAACAUGAAAUAUUGAACAAUAGAAGGCAUGUCCUGACCAAGGAUAAUGGUGGUUCUGUGAAGCUUUGGGGGAUCACUAAAGGUGUUGUGAUUGAGGACUAUGGACAGAUUGCUUACACGCUGCCUUGGAUAGCUGAAAUACAUAUUAUCCAUUUUCUAUUAAAAGUUACUCAUUAUACCUCUCCUUUAAUGAUUUCCUUAUGCUCCCAUUUUAAUUUUUAUAUACUUUUUUCCAGGUUAAAAUUCUUGCAUGGUUUGACUGCAUAUACUAGGCUUGGAAGCAUUGCUCGCAGCUUUAUAAAAGAUCCGAAAGUUCUCACAUUCGUAGAUCCUGAGGUGGGCUUAUGAUCAAAAUUAGAAACUUUCAGGGAUCAAACACAGGGACUGUUUUUGUAAUUUACUUUUCUGUUUAUAAUGUAUGAUGUUAUUGUUUGCAGAGGACAUGAUUUUAGCAAAAACGUGUUCGAUGAACAAACUGUUAUUGUUUAUGAUUAGGUAUAAGUAUAACUACAUUUGAAUUUA
Molecule: RNA transcript, 1865 nt
Organism: Lactuca sativa (garden lettuce)
Lineage: Eukaryota; Viridiplantae; Streptophyta; Magnoliopsida; Asterales; Asteraceae
Source: RefSeq, a predicted model, not a curated record